Molecule: non-coding RNA, 77 nt
Organism: Parelaphostrongylus tenuis
Lineage: Eukaryota; Metazoa; Nematoda; Chromadorea; Rhabditida; Metastrongylidae
Source: the annotation of a GenBank genome assembly
GCCUUGGUGGUGCAGUGGUAGCACGCGCUCGCGAGGGGGGUAUGGGUGAAACGCGGGUUCGACUCCCGGAUGAGGUC